ACUGUUAAAUUCCAAAAAAAAAAAAAAAGAAAUUAAAAAAAGUGAUAAUGAAGUAUCUCACAAUUCUCAUCUUUCUGGAGAAUUAAAUACUUGUUUUGUCUAACGCUGUAAUUAUAUUCAAUUGCAUCCAAAUCCAAUCAUCAAGUUACUUUUCAAGCUGGCCUUAUUUUAAUUUUUUUGGGGGUCUAUAUUUGGGUACACAAUUUUUUUUUUUUUUUGGAGAAACUGGUACUUGUAAAAUUUCCUAAACCAACCGGUAAAGUAAUCUACCGGACGAUCGGAACAUGGAGUGGGAGAGUGAUGAGAGAGAGCUAAAGGCUGUCGGAGCUAAGCCUCUACCGGACGGACGGAGUGGACUCCGUAUACACGGCUGGGAGAUUGAGUCUAGAAAGCAUUCCAUUCUCACUUCUCUUCAGCUUCAACAGUAUUCUUUUACUCCUUUUAUAUUGUGUUAAGAGGAUUACCGAAUGAACGCAGCUGUAGUCUUUAAUGGGAGGAUUGCAUUGACAAGAUUGAUUUAAAGCUCUGGCAUCAAAAGAACCUAUUCUCUUUUAUGAUGAGAUCAUCUUAUAUGAGGAUGAACUUGCUGAUAAUGGAGUCUCACUUUUAACAGUGAAAGUGGUAAUGUUAUUCUGGUUCUUAUCAAGUCAUAUCAAUUUGUCCGACUUACGAUUCACUGAUGAUCGAUUUCUGUGUAUCUCUAGAGAGUCAUGCCAAGUGGUUGGUUCUUGUUGCUGCGUUUAUGGGUGAGUGUCUCUGUUGAGGAAACAUAAACAAUAUCUUUUAGCGCCUGAGUUAUUGUUUCUUAGUCUCUUUUACUUAUGGUUGAAUGCAUUACACAGCUUAGAGUUGAUGGAGUGCUAAGUCCAUUUUAUUCACUGUUUGAGCAGGCAAUCUCGAUGUUACUUUAUCUUUGUAUUUUUAGGGAGAAGUCAUUCAUCUACUCCUUUUAUAGACUUGUUGGCAUCUUUCAUGAUCUCUAAAGGUUUGUUGAUGCCGUAAUGAUACAGGAAACUGUGGUGCUGAAAUUAGUUACUCAAAGCAGAAUAGUUGACAGGCUUCAGGGAGGAUUUUCAUAAAGAACAGACUAGGAUUUGGAAUAAGAUUGCUUCUGUAGUGAGAUGACAAACCAGAUUCUAAUUCAGUGAGAAGAAAUGCAGGAAAUAAAGAAAGAGAAAAGGAAGUAGGAGAAAAGGGGUGGGAAGGUGGGCAGUCCUCUUUACCCUCAUAAGGUCGAAAUCUAUCUAUGCACUCCACAUUUUCAAAUCAUAAUCUUCUUCAUAACCAGACGAACAAUUCAUGUCUCAAUUACAACUAAUAACAAGAAGCACAAGUCUUGAAGAUUAAAACCUCUUGUUGCCUUUAGAAUAUCAGGGUACUAAGUUGUUACUAGACAUCUUAAAGAUCGAUUUUACUAGGACUUAAUUAUACCUCUAGUAUAUUUUUCGUGAAACUUCCUCCCUUGUUAUCAGAUCUGGUUGAGCAAACAAAUCCUUUUUUCAUUAACUUUUUGAUUGAGAACAAAUGUUAUUGGUAAACUUGAUGAUGAGUUAGUUGGUAAAUGGUAAAUGAACAACAGAGAACCCAUUUGUGAUGAUAAUAGUCAAGUUAUGAUGAACAUUAUGUUUCAGAAGUAAAACAAACAAAUACAAAAAAUUGUACUUUUAGACAAGACAAUUCAUACAGUUUUAUGAAUCCAGUCAGAGGUUCUAAGUUUGAAUUUCACCGCCUUUAUCAACAUGAUUAUUUCGUGUGCUACUAACCCAAAAAAUCAUGGUUGCAAUUGAAAGGGCAUGUUGCAACAUAAGACAAAUAUAUAGAAGUGUUCCUUGCCAGGAUGGUGGGGUUGAUUCAGGGCAACUAAAUAAACUUCAGUCACUAGCCAACCUUUUUCCCCAUAAUUACUUUCUUCAAAUUUUCUCUUUUUCAAGGCUUUAGUAGAACAUAUAAAAAAGAUUGUCUUCAACUGUAGGCUGUGGUUUUGAUCUAUGUAUUUCAGAAGAUUGCAAAGUCCAUUAGUAUUUGAUGGUCUAUACUAGUACGUCUAUGUAAAUGAUGAGAUCUUAAGGCCAUUUUUGCAUUAGUUAGCCAAGCAUGGACACUAGGUUCAACAGGUUAUACUGGUAUAUUUUAAAUAGUGGAGGGCAGACCAAAAAGGUUUAUGAAGUGUAUUCAAGCAUAUAUGCAGCAUGUACAAAUAAAUGAAGUACUCAGAGGUGGUGAGUGGUAAUUUUUGAAAAUGUGAAAGGAUUCUUGUAAGCUCAGUAGAAUUUGCACCAUUGUUAAAAAAAAUUAAUAAUGGACAAUAAUUUGUAUACCCUAUUAUAGGUAACUGUUGCUUCUAAUAUCUAAACUGGCGAACAAGUGGUACUGGGUGGCUUUUGUCAACUCGAUAUGAAAGAUAAAAGCUUCAUAUCGAUAGUAGCAACACCAAAAUUUCAAGGUGGGGGUGGGAGGGGAGUGAAGGCGUUGUGGCCUAUGCUAGCCCUCCUAAAUGCGUCAUGACAUGUAGAAGCGCACCACUUCUUCCUCAGUUUUGGAGAAGCUCAAAACUUUAAAAUUGCCAAAUUGAGAAGUCAAGUUCUCUUUGCUACUGACUGAAAUAUUAUAACUUCAACUGGUCAUGUGGGUUCCUAAGUGUGUAGUGAAGUUACAGUUGAUUGAAAAUUUGGCCUUACAAUGAGAUAUUAUCUUAUGUUUCUAUCUCUUAUGCAUUAGACAAUCUGAAAGUUGAGAGUUGAUGACUUGUAGGUCAGCUAUUUCUGUAGAAUCUGAUGGCAGUAGGGUACAUCUCUGAACAGUUAGAUUGAUUGCCGACAUGCUUUCAUACCAACCUUAUGAAGCACUUUGUAGAGAAUGGUUUGCUGACUUUGGUGCUGAAUAAAGUAGGCCUAGACUUCGUGAUUUUGGAAGGGGAAGUAUAAAAUGUUAAUUUAAACUUGUGUUUCAUGUGUGCGCAGGAGAAGUUCAACAAAAUUCUAGAGUGGUGCUAUUGAUGGGUUUCUGUUUUGCUGUUUCGUUUAGCACUUAAGUGUUAUUGCUGACCAUAAGUAGUUUUGAGUUCUGUUCUUUGGCAUGUGAUUGUGGAAAGAGGUCUAACUUACAUUGACAUGUUGAAAGCAAUAGAGGUGAAGGCCCAUCCAUUUCUUUUGCCAGUGUACUGUGUGACAACUUUUUCCUGAACACUAUCCACCACCAUCUAAAAUAACAA
This is a non-coding RNA of Solanum lycopersicum (tomato), 3211 nucleotides long. The record is from RefSeq and is a predicted model, not a curated record. Lineage: Eukaryota; Viridiplantae; Streptophyta; Magnoliopsida; Solanales; Solanaceae.